This 459-nucleotide ribosomal RNA is filed under the name uncultured bacterium. RNAcentral describes it as "partial 16S ribosomal RNA". It matches the Rfam family "Bacterial small subunit ribosomal RNA", at positions 338 to 795 of the family's 1533-position model. The record is from RNAcentral.
CCUACGGGUGACUGCAGUGAGGAAUAUUGGUCAAUGGGCGCGAGCCUGAACCAGCCAAGUCGCGUGAGGGAAGACGGUCCUAUGGAUUGUAAACCUCUUUUGUCGGGGAGCAAAAGACGCCACGCGUGGCGUUCCGAGAGUACCCGAAGAAAAAGCAUCGGCAAACUCCGUGCAAGCAGCCGCGGUAAUACGGAGGAUGCGAGCGUUAUCCGGAUUUAUUGGGGUAAAGGGGUGCGCAGGCGGAAGAUCAAGUCAGCGGUAAAAUUGAGGGGCUCAACCCCUUCGAGCCGUUGAAACUGGUUUUCUGGAGUGAGUGAGAAGUAUGCGGAAUGCGUGGUGUAGCGGUGAAAUGCAUAGAUAUCACGCAGAACUCCGAUUGCGAAGGCAGCAUACCGGCGCUCAACUGACGCUCAGGCACGAAAGUGUGGGUAUCGAACAGGAUUAGAUACCCUAGUAGUC